This 253-nucleotide ribosomal RNA is filed under the name uncultured bacterium. Its description in RNAcentral is "partial 16S ribosomal RNA". It matches the Rfam family "Bacterial small subunit ribosomal RNA", at positions 524 to 776 of the family's 1533-position model. The record is from RNAcentral.
UACGUAGGGGGCUAGCGUUGUCCGGAAUCAUUGGGCGUAAAGAGCGUGUAGGCGGCCAGAUAAGUCCGCUGUGAAAUCUCGAGGCUCAACUUCGAGCUGUCGGUGGAAACUAUCUGGCUAGAGUCCGGAAGAGGAGAAUGGAAUUCCUGGUGUAGCGGUGAAAUGCGCAGAUAUCAGGAAGAACACCCGUGGCGAAGGCGGUUCUCUGGGCAUGUCCUGACGCUGAGGAGCGAAAGUGUGGGGAGCGAACAGG